UGAAGAGGAGGGGCACAGAUUUGAAAUCCCCCCGGGGAGUUGUAAUUUGAAGAUUGCGUCUUGGAGGCGACCGUGUCUAUGUUCCUUAGGAACAGGACGUCACAGAGGGUGAGAAUCCCGUGCGGCACGGCCCCCGGCUCCUUAUAAGGCGCUCUCGACGAGUCGAGUUGUUUGGGAAUGCAGCUCAAAGUGGGUGGUAAAUUCCAUCUAAAGCUAAAUACAGGCGAGAGACCGAUAGCGAACAAGUACAGUGAUGGAAAGAUGAAAAGCACUUUGAAAAGAGAGUGAAACAGCACGUGAAAUUGUUGAAAGGGAAGGGCAUGCCGUCAGAUUGUCAGUGUGGGUAAGAAGCGGGGUACAAAGACUGUGGAACGUGGCCCUCGGGUGUUAUAGCCGCAGUUCAUGCCCCGUCUCUUUCCGAGGCCUGCUUUGAGGACACCGACGUAAUGACGGUACGCCGC
This 461-nucleotide ribosomal RNA is filed under the name Kodamaea ohmeri. Its description in RNAcentral is "partial large subunit ribosomal RNA". It matches the Rfam family "Eukaryotic large subunit ribosomal RNA", at positions 94 to 648 of the family's 3401-position model. Lineage: Eukaryota; Fungi; Ascomycota; Pichiomycetes; Serinales; Debaryomycetaceae. The record is from RNAcentral.